RNAcentral lists this ribosomal RNA (495 nucleotides) under uncultured bacterium. RNAcentral describes it as "partial 16S ribosomal RNA". It matches the Rfam family "Bacterial small subunit ribosomal RNA", at positions 28 to 507 of the family's 1533-position model. The record is from RNAcentral.
GACGAACGCUGGCGGCGUGCCUAAUACAUGCAAGUAGAACGCUGAAGGAGGAGCUUGCUUCUCUGGAUGAGUUGCGAACGGGUGAGUAACGCGUAGGUAACCUGCCUGGUAGCGGGGGAUAACUAUUGGAAACGAUAGCUAAUACCGCAUAAGAGUAGAUGUUGCAUGACAUUUGCUUAAAAGGUGCAAUUGCAUCACUACCAGAUGGACCUGCGUUGUAUUAGCUAGUUUGUGAGGUAACGGCUCACCAAGGCGACGAUACAUAGCCGACCUGAGAGGGUGAUCGGCCACACUGGGACUGAGACACGGCCCAGACUCCUACGGGAGGCAGCAGUAGGGAAUCUUCGGCAAUGGACGGAAGUCUGACCGAGCAACGCCGCGUGAGUGAAGAAGGUUUUCGGAUCGUAAAGCUCUGUUGUAAGAGAAGAACGAGUGUGAGAGUGGAAAGUUCACACUGUGACGGUAUCUUACCAGAAAGGGACGGCUAACUACGUG